RNAcentral lists this ribosomal RNA (440 nucleotides) under uncultured bacterium. Its description in RNAcentral is "partial 16S ribosomal RNA". It matches the Rfam family "Bacterial small subunit ribosomal RNA", at positions 338 to 795 of the family's 1533-position model. The record is from RNAcentral.
CCUACGGGCGGCAGCAGUGGGGAAUAUUGCACAAUGGGGGAAACCCUGAUGCAGCGACGCCGCGUGAGUGAAGAAGUAUUUCGGUACGUAAAGCUCUAUCAGCAGGGAAGAAAAUGACGGUACCUGACUAAGAAGCCCCGGCUAACUACGUGCCAGCAGCCGCGGUAAUACGUAGGGGGCAAGCGUUAUCCGGAUUUACUGGGUGUAAAGGGAGCGUAGACGGCAGCGCAAGUCUGGAGUGAAAUCCCAUGGCUUAACCAUGGAACUGCUUUGGAAACUGUGCAGCUAGAGUGCAGGAGAGGUAAGCGGAAUUCCGAGGGGAGCGGUGAAAUGCGUAGAUAUUAGGAGGAACACCAGUGGCGAAGGCGGCUUACUGGACUGUAACUGACGUUGAGGCUCGAAAGCGUGGGGAGCAAACAGGAUUAGAUACCCGGGUAGUC